RNAcentral lists this unclassified non-coding RNA (372 nucleotides) under uncultured bacterium. RNAcentral describes it as "contains 16S-23S intergenic spacer region". The record is from RNAcentral.
UCCUCUUUACAGAGGCAGUUUCGUCCGAGUCCCCGACUUGACUCGCUGGUAACAGACGAUGAGGGUUGCGCUCGUUGCGGGACUUAACCCAACAUUUCACAACACGAGCUGACGACAGCCAUGCACCACCUGUGCACCACCCUCGGAGGCGACCCCGUUUCGGGGGCUUGCAGGUGCAUGUCAAGCCCUGGUAAGGUUCUUCGCGUUGCAUCGAAUUAAGCCACAUGCUCCACCGCUUGUGCGGGCCCCCGCCAAUUCCUUUGAGUUUCAACCUUGCGGCCGUAGUCCCCAGGCGGCUCACUUAAUGCGUUAGCUGCGGCACCGAAGGUUGCCCCCCGACACCUAGUGAGCAUCGUUUAUAGCUAAGACUAC